UGCCUAUUUACUAACAGCUUGACCAUGGCAAUUUCCUGACGUCCCUCAGCCUCAGUGUCCACAUCUGUAAAAUGGUAACAAAAUCAGUAUCUGCCUGGCAGCGUCAGAAAAAUUGAGAUAAUUCACGGAAAGCACUAACCUGGAUUGACACAUAGUCAUUCAGGAAAUCACUGGAGACAUAAUUUCAAGGCACCAGGACCCCAGAUGUUUACUAAGCUACACUGUGAUUGACAUUGUCAAUCUAGGGACAACUGAUGGCCAAUGAGGGGACCAAAUCAACUGUAGCCUCUUGUUGGUUCUGACACAUUCAUAUAUUCAGCAAACAUCUGAGUUUCUUGCAUUAUCAGUUGAGAGGGUUGGAGUGGCUCAGAGGACAGGCAGACACCGUACAGAGAAGAUUCCCUGGACGGGUAGCCUUUUGGGUUGGGACACCAUCAAGCUCCAACAGGGAAGAGGACAGGAGGUCCUUUAGUUUGUACUAAGAAGAUGAGGACCAGAAGAUUCUGGAAGAAUAAGGAAGGAGAAAUGAAGUGGGGAGUCUUCCUCAGCCCAUCCCACCCUUUGGACCUUUAAACCACUGCUCCACUUUCCUUAACCUGCCUGUGGGUUGCCUAGACCUGGGUGGGUGACCGAUUCCAGGUAACUGACAAGGCCCCUGUCCCUUUGUUCUCCCUUCCCCACCUCCCAGCCCCUGCCUCCCCACAGCUGCGAUAACCCACACGUAGCACUCUGCCCUCUGGAAUUUAUUUUAAGGUCUUGGCUUGUUUAUUUAUUUUAUUUAGAGAUUUCUCGGUGCUUUGUGGGGAGGAAAAUUCGAAUGGGGUGAUUAUGAAAUACUAUUUCACCUCGCUGUUCAUUCACAACAAACAAAGAGAAAUGAUUGGUGAUUAAAAAUGCAUUCUCUCUGCUUGUUUUCUUUUGUUUUACCAUUAUGGAAAUAUUAUAAAUACUGAAUACUAAUCUGGA
Manis javanica (Malayan pangolin) is the source of this 966-nucleotide non-coding RNA. Lineage: Eukaryota; Metazoa; Chordata; Mammalia; Pholidota; Manidae. The record is from RefSeq and is a predicted model, not a curated record.